This 253-nucleotide ribosomal RNA is filed under the name uncultured bacterium. RNAcentral describes it as "partial 16S ribosomal RNA". It matches the Rfam family "Bacterial small subunit ribosomal RNA", at positions 524 to 776 of the family's 1533-position model. The record is from RNAcentral.
UACGUAGGGUGCAAGCGUUAAUCGGAAUUACUGGGCGUAAAGCGUGCGCAGGCGGUUAUGUAAGACAGGUGUGAAAUCCCCGGGCUCAACCUGGGAACUGCAUUUGUGACUGCAUAGCUAGAGUACGGUAGAGGGGGAUGGAAUUCCGCGUGUAGCAGUGAAAUGCGUAGAUAUGCGGAGGAACACCGAUGGCGAAGGCAAUCCCCUGGACCUGUACUGACGCUCAUGCACGAAAGCGUGGGGAGCAAACAGG